RNAcentral lists this ribosomal RNA (501 nucleotides) under uncultured bacterium. RNAcentral's name for it is "bacterial SSU rRNA". It matches the Rfam family "Bacterial small subunit ribosomal RNA", at positions 8 to 507 of the family's 1533-position model. The record is from RNAcentral.
AGAGUUUGAUCAUGGCUCAGAUUGAACGCUGGCGGCAUGCCUUACACAUGCAAGUCGAACGGUAACGGGCCUUCGGGUGCCGACGAGUGGCGAACGGGUGAGUAAUGCAUCGGAACGUACCUUUCAGUGGGGAUAACGUAGCGAAAGUUACGCUAAUACCGCGUAUUCUGUGAGCAGGAAAGCAGGGGAUCGCAAGACCUUGCGCUGAUUGAGCGGCCGAUGUCAGAUUAGCUAGUUGGUGAGGUAAAGGCUCACCAAGGCGACGAUCUGUAGCGGGUCUGAGAGGAUGAUCCGCCACACUGGAACUGAGACACGGUCCAGACUCCUACGGGAGGCAGCAGUGGGGAAUUUUGGACAAUGGGGGCAACCCUGAUCCAGCCAUGCCGCGUGAGUGAAGAAGGCCUUCGGGUUGUAAAGCUCUUUCGGCCGGGAAGAAAUCGCAUGGGUUAAUACCCUGUGCGGAUGACGGUACCGGCAUAAGAAGCACCGGCUAACUACGUG